CACGUAGGGGGCAAGCGUUGUCCGGAUUUACUGGGUGUAAAGGGUGCUCAGGUGGAUUCAUAAGUCAGAGGUGAAACUCCGAAGCUUAACUUCGGAACUGCCUUUGAUACUGUGGGUCUAGAGUUUGAGAGAGGGCAAUGGAAUAUCUGGUGUAGCAGUGAAAUGCGUAGAUAUCAGAUAGAACACCAAUGGCGAAGGCAGUUGCCUGGCUCAAUACUGACGCUAAAGCACGAAAGUGUGGGGAGCAAACAGGAUUAGAUACCCCCGUA
RNAcentral lists this ribosomal RNA (269 nucleotides) under uncultured prokaryote. Its description in RNAcentral is "partial 16S ribosomal RNA". It matches the Rfam family "Bacterial small subunit ribosomal RNA", at positions 524 to 792 of the family's 1533-position model. The record is from RNAcentral.